RNAcentral lists this ribosomal RNA (253 nucleotides) under uncultured bacterium. RNAcentral's name for it is "partial 16S ribosomal RNA". It matches the Rfam family "Bacterial small subunit ribosomal RNA", at positions 524 to 776 of the family's 1533-position model. The record is from RNAcentral.
UACGUAGGGUGCGAGCGUUAUUCGGAAUUACUGGGCGUAAAGCGUGCGCAGGCGGUUUUGUAAGUCAGAUGUGAAAUCCCCGGGCUCAACCUGGGAAUGGCAUUUGGGACUGCAAGGCUGGAGUUUGGCAGAGGAGACUGGAAUUCCUGGUGUAGCAGUGAAAUGCGUAGAUAUCAGGAGGAACACCGAUGGCGAAGGCAGGUCUCUGGGCUGAAACUGACGCUCAUGCACGAAAGCGUGGGGAGCAAACAGG